Molecule: unclassified non-coding RNA, 224 nt
Filed under: plant metagenome
Description: partial contains small subunit ribosomal RNA and internal transcribed spacer 1
Rfam family: Eukaryotic small subunit ribosomal RNA (bases 1-46)
Source: RNAcentral
AAGUCGUAACAAGGUCUCCGUUGGUGAACCAGCGGAGGGAUCAUUGCUGGAACGCGCCUCGGCGCACCCAGAAACCCUUUGUGAACUUAUACCUUACUGUUGCCUCGGCGUCAGGCCGGCCUCCCUGCUGAGGCCCCUCGGUAACGAGGAGCAGCCCGCCGGCGGCCAAGUUAACUCUUGUUUUUACACUGAAACUCUGAGAAAUAAACAUAAAUAAAUCAAAA